Molecule: long non-coding RNA, 1852 nt
Organism: Alligator mississippiensis (American alligator)
Lineage: Eukaryota; Metazoa; Chordata; Crocodylia; Alligatoridae
Exons: 4
Source: RefSeq, a predicted model, not a curated record
GCGGGGGGGGGGGGGGGGCUCAGAGCCGGGCUUGGGGUGUCAGUGUAGCGACUAACAGGGAGGCGCCGGGCUGUUGCCGUGGCAACAGGGAACAUCGUCAUAGAGACGGGGCUCCGGCAUCCUCACGCCCGCGUGUCCCGUGAAAAGAUAGGGACAGCAGGACCGCAGGGUGUCUAGUUGCCAUGACAACCACACAAGUGUGACAGUUCAGGGGUCUAGUGACCAGCGGCCAUGGCAACCAAGGACCAGUGACCACCCAGCGCCCUAGGGACCAGCAGCCAUGGCAACUGAGGAAAAGGAACAGCCCAGCACCAGCCCAGGGGCCUGCAGACCAGCAACCAUGGCAAGGUAGGAAGGGUGACAGCUUAGUUCCAUGGUGGCCAGUGGGCAUGGCAACCGAGAAGCAGUGACAGCCCAAUGCCACAGUGACCAGCAGCCACGGUAACCAAGGAACAGUGACAGCACAGUGCCCUGGGGACCAGCAGCCAUGGCAACCAAGGCACAGUGACAACACCCAAAGGCAGUGACAGCCACCCAACCUGGCACCCAGUAGGGCUGACAGCUACCCAGUCUGGAUCAGCAAUCGUUGUUCACAGCUGAGUGGCCUGGUGCCCAGCAGUGGGGACAGCCAGGGAGCCUAGUGGCAGCGGUAGACAUCCUGGAAGCUGUGAUGGCACAACCUGUGCACCCAAGCCUCAUCAUACCUAAUGGCAGCAGUCCAUAGCUGACCCAGCUAUGUCCCAACCAGAGCUGUGGCACACCAAAGACACUGUGUCUAGUCAGCGGACAACCAGCACUCCUGAUCAUGAGGACGCAACUGUGGGCAAGUGACAAGACCACAGUCCUUUGCAUUGUCAUCAGUCACAUGAGCCCUGAUGCUGAAAUGUUGGGCUGCACUGAAACAUUUUGCCCAUGUGGCAUGAGGGGAAUAAUCUUCCUCUCCUUGUAGAUUUGCAUGUCAGAAGAAACCCUCCUAAUCACCUUCUCCCACCUCAUGUGGCAAAACAGAGACUGGAGAAUGUCAUGCACCAGCUUCUCUCUUCCUCACACCCACAACUUCUGUUUGAUAGGAGUAUCUCCCUUAGAAGAACCUUUUGUCAGGUGUUAUCUUCACUGCUUCUCUGAGAGAUAAAUUCAUUCAUGGCUGAGAGUCAGUGAGAUCAUAGGAAAACAUUGUCUUGCUAUCUGGAAAUGUCACCAAAAUGUCAUCCCGCUGCGUGCGGACAUCACUUUGGAACAGAAGGCACCAAAGCUGACCCUGAGACCCUGCAUGUCAUUAAAUGGUCUCCCAGGGGAGCUCAUCACACACAGCCCCUCCCCCCCUCAACUGGUAGGCCUGACAGCGGAGGGUGACAGAAGACAGCUACUUCAUUCUACAGUCCACUGGAUUGCCUUCCAUGCCCCAGGCAUCUAUGGAAGAUUAAACUACAACCAUGCCAGCAUUUGGUUUGGGUCCACAAGGAAAGCUAAAUGGCAAGUCUAAGCUGGAGCAGAACCAAAGAGACUCAACUCCCAUGUCCUGCUCCAGCCAUGGAGUGAAUCCACCCAGAUCCAAGGACAGCAAUCUUAGGAUGGCCCAAGGAGGGCAUGCCUCCUUCGUACUGCCAAAGCCAGCUUGAAAAACCCUCCUCCCUCCCAAAACCCAGAGGCCCUUGGCUGGCAAAAGCGAGUAUCAGGUCUUACCAGGAGGAGGCGGCAAGCUGCCCAAAUCCACUGCCUGGCCCUUACCCAGAGUUUCCAACAUGGGGUCGAGGCUCUGAAAGACAGCCCAAGGAACAAAGGCUCCUGCCCUGCCAGACAGCUUCUUAGUGUUACCCCAAGCACUCACCUUGAGGCCUCUCUCAUAUCGACG